CCUAUACUUUGAGGCGAUUUUGGUUUUAGUCCCUCUUUCAAACUAAAUUGUACUUUAAUUUGAAAGAGAGACUAAAACCAAAAUCGUCUUAAAGUAUAGGGAC
Molecule: microRNA precursor, 103 nt
Filed under: Vigna radiata var. radiata (mung bean)
Lineage: Eukaryota; Viridiplantae; Streptophyta; Magnoliopsida; Fabales; Fabaceae
Description: pre miRNA mir-286
Rfam family: mir-286 microRNA precursor family
Source: RNAcentral